GUUUUCUAGUGGACAGUUUGUAGGUGUACACCGCCACCUGCUGGAUUAAUCUCGUGCUGGACCUCCAUCAGCAGAGGUCGCUGUUCCGCGCAGCUUCCAUUACUGUUUCCCGCCUCAACAGUCAGUCAACCUACUUGCUUCCACCUCGUAAGAGGGUCACUUUUCCAUGUUUAUUGCAGUAGUUCUCCUGCACAUUUGCACAAAGCUGUAUGCAUAGGUGGUUCUACUGGAACCAACAGGAGCCAUAACAGUACUGGCCCCUGCUAUUGCCCCUGUACUGAUGAGAUAAUAUUAAAUCAGUUUCUAAUAAUGAUAGGUGCUGACAUAGAAAAUGUAAUCUUGGACCAAUUAUAUUUUUUCCCUUCGCAGUUUUACUUUCACAAAUGACUAAAAAUGAAGGUGUUGUACUGAUAUUGAAACAAGAUCAGAGUUUUCAAUCUACAGCUGCAAUUGGCUCUUUGGCCCUUUGCCUCACUUAAUAUAUUAAACGAUGAAACAUUC
Long non-coding RNA from Poecilia reticulata (guppy), 501 nucleotides. RefSeq lists it as uncharacterized. The record is from RefSeq and is a predicted model, not a curated record. NCBI's taxonomy places the organism in Eukaryota, Metazoa, Chordata, Actinopteri, Cyprinodontiformes, Poeciliidae.